RNAcentral lists this ribosomal RNA (749 nucleotides) under uncultured bacterium. Its description in RNAcentral is "bacterial SSU rRNA". It matches the Rfam family "Bacterial small subunit ribosomal RNA", at positions 28 to 775 of the family's 1533-position model. The record is from RNAcentral.
GAUGAACGCUGGCGGCGUGCUUAACACAUGCAAGUCGAACGAAGCACUUUAUUUGAUUUCCUUCGGGACUGAUUAUUUUGUGACUGAGUGGCGGACGGGUGAGUAACGCGUGGGUAACCUGCCUUGUACAGGGGGAUAACAGUUGGAAACGGCUGCUAAUACCGCAUAAGCGCACAGCAUCGCAUGAUGCAGUGUGAAAAACUCCGGUGGUAUAAGAUGGACCCGCGUUGGAUUAGCUAGUUGGUGAUGUAACGGCCCACCAAGGCGACGAUCCAUAGCCGACCUGAGAGGGUGACCGGCCACAUUGGGACUGAGACACGGCCCAAACUCCUACGGGAGGCAGCAGUGGGGAAUAUUGCACAAUGGGCGAAAGCCUGAUGCAGCGACGCCGCGUGAGCGAAGAAGUAUUUCGGUAUGUAAAGCUCUAUCAGCAGGGAAGAUAAUGACGGUACCUGACUAAGAAGCACCGGCUAAAUACGUGCCAGCAGCCGCGGUAAUACGUAUGGUGCAAGCGUUAUCCGGAUUUACUGGGUGUAAAGGGAGCGCAGGCGGUGCGGCAAGUCUGAUGUGAAAGCCCGGGGCUCAACCCCGGUACUGCAUUGGAAACUGUCGUACUAGAGUGUCGGAGGGGUAAGCGGAAUUCCUAGUGUAGCGGUGAAAUGCGUAGAUAUUAGGAGGAACACCAGUGGCGAAGGCGGCUUACUGGACGAUAACUGACGCUGAGGCUCGAAAGCGUGGGGAGCAAACAA